UCUCCUGUGGCUCAGUGGUAGAGCGUUCGACCGGUGUGUGGAAGGUCAUAGGUUCGACUCCUGUUGGGAGAA
RNAcentral lists this transfer RNA (72 nucleotides) under Desmophyllum pertusum. Its description in RNAcentral is "Lophelia pertusa tRNA". It matches the Rfam family "tRNA". From Rfam's summary of the family: Transfer RNA (tRNA) molecules are approximately 80 nucleotides in length. Their secondary structure includes four short double-helical elements and three loops (D, anti-codon, and T loops). Lineage: Eukaryota; Metazoa; Cnidaria; Anthozoa; Scleractinia; Caryophylliidae. The record is from Rfam by way of RNAcentral.